AGAGUUUGAUCCUGGCUCAGGAUAAACGCUGGCGGCAUGCCUAAUACAUGCAAGUCGAACGAGAGAAUCUUGCUUGCAAGAGGAUCUAGUGGCGAACGGGUGAGUAACACGUGAACAACCUGCCUUUAAGUUGGGGACAACAGUUGGAAACGACUGCUAAUACCGAAUAACAUAGCACUUCGCAUGAGGAGCUAUUGAAAGAUCCGUUUGGAUUGCUUUUAGAGGGGUUUGCGACGCAUUAGCUAGUUGGUGAGGUAACGGCUCACCGAGGCGACGAUGCGUAGCUGCGCUGAGAGGCGGAACAGCCACAUUGGGACUGAGACACGGCCCAAACUCCUACGGGAGGCAGCAGUAGGGAAUUUUCGGCAAUGGGGGCAACCCUGACCGAGCAAUGCCGCGUGAACGACGAAGGUCUUAGGAUCGUAAAGUUCUGUUGUUAGGAAAGAAUAGUAUGGGUAGGAAAUGAUCUAUAUUUGACGGUACCUAACUAGAAAGCCCCGGCUAACUAUGUGCCAGCAGCCGCGGUAAUACAUAGGGGGCGAGCGUUAUCCGGAAUUAUUGGGCGUAAAGCGUGCGUAGGCGGUUUAUUAAGUCUGGUGUGAAAUCUCGUGGCUUAACCACGAGUGGUCAUUGGAUACUGGUAGACUUGAGUACGGUAGAGGUAAGCGGAAUUCCAAGUGGAGCGGUGAAAUGCGUAGAUAUUUGGAGGAACAUCAGUAGCGAAGGCGGCUUACUGGGCCGGUACUGACGCUGAGGCACGAAAGCGUAGGUAGCAAACAGGAUUAGAUACCCUGGUAGUCUACGCCGUAAACGAUGAGUAUUAAGUGUCGGGGUUACUCGGUACUGCAGUUAACACAAUAAAUACUCCGCCUGGGGAGUACGGUCGCAAGACUGAAACUCAAAGGAAUUGACGGGGACUCGCACAAGCGGUGGAGCAUGCGGUUUAAUUCGAUGCAACGCGAAGAACCUUACCAGGUCUUGACAUACUGUUGUCAGGAUUAGAGAUAAUCCCUUUCUUCGGAACAACAGAUACAGGUGGUGCAUGGUUGUCGUCAGCUCGUGUCGUGAGAUGUUGGGUUAAGUCCCGCAACGAGCGCAACCCUUAUCAUUAGUUGCCAUCACGUAAUGGUGGGCACUCUAAUGAGACCGCCGGUGAUAAACCGGAUGAAGGUGGGGAUGACGUCAAAUCAUCAUGCCCCUUAUGACCUGGGCCACACGCGUGCUACAAUGGCUGGCACAAAGAGUCGCAAUACCGCGAGGUGGAGCCAAUCUCAGAAAACCAGUCUCAGUUCGGAUUGUAGUCUGCAACUCGACUACAUGAAGUUGGAAUCGCUAGUAAUCGUAAAUCAGAAUGUUACGGUGAAUACGUUCUCGAGUCUUGUACACACCGCCCGUCACACCAUGAGAGUUUGUAAUACCCAAAACCGGUGGCCUAACCUUUUAGGAGGGAGCCGACUAAGGUAGGACAGAUGAUUGGGGUGAAGUCGUAACAAGGUAUCCCUACGAGAACGUGGGGAUG
This 1519-nucleotide ribosomal RNA is filed under the name oral metagenome. Its description in RNAcentral is "bacterial SSU rRNA". It matches the Rfam family "Bacterial small subunit ribosomal RNA". The record is from RNAcentral.